RNAcentral lists this ribosomal RNA (709 nucleotides) under Amylomyces rouxii. RNAcentral's name for it is "partial large subunit ribosomal RNA". It matches the Rfam family "Eukaryotic large subunit ribosomal RNA", at positions 36 to 670 of the family's 3401-position model. Lineage: Eukaryota; Fungi; Mucoromycota; Mucoromycetes; Mucorales; Mucoraceae. The record is from RNAcentral.
UUGCAUAUCAAAUAAGCGGAGGAAAAGAAAAUAACAAAUGAUUUCCCUAGUAACGGCGAGUGAAGAGGAAAGAGCUCAAAGUUGGAACCUGUUUGGCCUAGCUAAACCGGAUUGUAGACUGUAGAAGUGUUUUCCAGGCAAGCCGAGUAAAUAAGUCCUUUGGAACAGGGCAUCAUAGAGGGUGAGAAUCCCGUCUUUGGCUUGAGCAUUUGCCUUUUGUGAUACGCUUUCAAAGAGUCAGGUUGUUUGGGAAUGCAGCCUAAAUUGGGUGGUAAAUCUCACCUAAAGCUAAAUAUUGGCGAGAAACCGAUAGCGAACAAGUACCGUGAGGGAAAGAUGAAAAGAACUUUGAAAAGAGAGUUAAACAGUAUGUGAAAUUGUUAAAAGGGAACCGUUUGGAGCCAGACUGGCUUGUCUGUAAUCAAUCUAGGCUUCGGCCUGGAUGCACUUGCAGGCUAUGCCUGCCAACGACAAUUUGACUUGAGGGAAAAAACUAGGGGAAAUGUGGCCCACUUGUGGGUGUUAUAGUCCCUUAGAAAAUACCUUGGGUUGGAUUGAGGAACGCAGCGAAUGCUUAUUGGCGAGUUUUCCAGGAAGGUUUUCUGAGGUACUACGGUAUCAAGGUUGAUCUUUUUGGUUAUACUUCUAUUCGCUUAGGUUGUUGGCUAUAUAUGACUCUAAAUGACCCGUCUUGAAACCACGGACCAAU